This 956-nucleotide non-coding RNA is filed under the name Coleonyx mitratus. RNAcentral's name for it is "12S ribosomal RNA". It matches the Rfam family "Bacterial small subunit ribosomal RNA". The record is from RNAcentral. Lineage: Eukaryota; Metazoa; Chordata; Lepidosauria; Squamata; Eublepharidae.
CAAAGUUUUGGUCCUAAACUUAUAGUUAUUUAUUACCAAAUUUACACAUGCUAGUAUCCGCACACCAGUGAGAAUGCCCAUCACCUUACCAAAUCAAACUAAGACUGGAGCUGGUAUCAGGCACAGCAGCCACCAACUGCUAGCCCAAAACACCUUGCAAUUGCCACACCCUCACGGGACCCAGCAGUGAUAAACAUUAAGCCAUGAGCGAUACCCCAUUUAAGCUCGACUCAGUUAUGGUUAUAGGGCCGGUAAACUUCGUGCCAGCCACCGCGGUUAUACGAAGGGCCCAAAAUAACAAUUUUCGGCGUAAAACGUGACUAGAAAUUCACCCCAGAAGCAGAAACCAUCACUUUGAUAUAAAACUCUAAAGCUACAUGGGAAACACCACUAAGCUUCUAAUACCUUUGACUCACGAAAGCUAAGACACAAACUAGGAUUAGAUACCCUACUAUGCUCAGCCAUAAACCUUGAUAUACUACCAUAAAAUAUCCGCCAGAGAACUACGAGUGAAAAACUUGAAACUUAAAGGACUUGACGGUGUUCCACAUCGACCUAGAGGAGCCUGUCCUAUAAACGAUACCCCACGCUAAACCUCACCCCCCCUAGCCCACUCAGCCUAUAUACCGCCGUCGUCAGCUCACCUUAUGAAAGCCAUACCAGUAAGCAAAAUCGUUCAGCACAAAAACGUCAGGUCAAGGUGUAGCUUAUGGGGGGGAAAGAGAUGGGCUACAUUCUCUAAAAUAGAGAUACAAAAAGCACUAUGAAACAGUGACCACAGAUGGAUUUAGAAGUAGACUGGACUAGACAAUCCAAUCGAACCCCGCCCUGGAACGCGUACACACCGCCCGUCACCCUCAUCAACAACCUCUCCACCAAUAAAUAAACCCAACAACAACACUAGAUGAGGCAAGUCGUAACAUGGUAAGCGUACUGGAAAGUGCGCUUGGAAACAA